GGGGUUGUAGCUCAGUAGUAGAGCACUUACCUAGCAUGUGUGAGGUUCCUGGGGUCAAUACCUAGCACUGCCA
RNAcentral lists this transfer RNA (73 nucleotides) under Fukomys damarensis (Damara mole-rat). It matches the Rfam family "tRNA". Rfam says of the family: Transfer RNA (tRNA) molecules are approximately 80 nucleotides in length. The record is from Rfam by way of RNAcentral. Lineage: Eukaryota; Metazoa; Chordata; Mammalia; Rodentia; Bathyergidae.